Molecule: unclassified non-coding RNA, 147 nt
Filed under: uncultured Rhizoscyphus
Lineage: Eukaryota; Fungi; Ascomycota; Leotiomycetes; Helotiales; Helotiaceae
Description: sequence contains ITS2
Source: RNAcentral
AAACCAAUCCAGCUUGCUGGGUCUUGGGCCUUUUCGCCUCUGGGCGGGCCUCAAAAUCAGUGGCGGUGCUAUCUAGCUCUAAGCGUAGUAAUAUUUCUCGCUAUAGACACUAGGUGGUUACUUGCCAAUAACCCCUUAUUUUUCAAA